ACAAAGGGCUGCAAGUUCGCGAGGACAAGCAAAUCCCAUAAACCGUGGCUCAGUUCAGAUCGUAGGCUGCAACUCGCCUACGUGAAGGCGGAAUCGCUAGUAAUCGCAGGUCAGCAUACUGCGGUGAAUACGUUCCCGGGCCUUGUACACACCGCCCGUCACACCAUGGAAGUUGGCCACGCCCGAAGCCGUUACUCCAACCCUUGUGGAGGAGGACGUCGAAGGUGGGGCUGAUGACUGGGGUGAAGUCGUAACAAGGUAGCCGUACCGGAAGGUGCGGAUGGAUCACCUCCUAAC
Molecule: ribosomal RNA, 297 nt
Filed under: uncultured Synechococcus sp.
Lineage: Bacteria; Bacillati; Cyanobacteriota; Cyanophyceae; Synechococcales; Synechococcaceae
Description: partial 16S ribosomal RNA
Rfam family: Bacterial small subunit ribosomal RNA
Source: RNAcentral